UAUCAUAGGGGCUCAAACUUCAUCAGUGGAACAAACCACUGAGAGAUAGAUCAUCAUAGCAUUAUUGAGAGGUGAUGGAAUUAGAAGAUGGGGCCUAGUUGAAGAGAGUGGGUCAUGGAGCUAUAAUCUUGGGAACUAUAUAAUGUCUCUGGCUCAUCCCAUUUCUCCUGGCUGCUAUGAAGUAACCAGCAUUCCUCCACUACCCCCUUUCUGCCAUGGUAUUCUUCUACCUCACCACAGACCCAGAAAAUAUGGAGCUGACAACUGUAGCCUAAAACUUCUGAAUGACAAAACAAAUCUUUCCUCUUGAACAGUGACUUAUGUCAGAAAAAGGUGCAUCAAUGAAGAUACAGCAUCAAGGGGAUGUUGGUUUUAUUUUUUGAAGUUGAUGGAAUCAUGCAAGCUGAGUUUUACCAAGGAACAGAAGGAGAGAAAAGUAACUAAGACAGGAAGCAAAAGGAAAGGACCUUGUGGAUAUUCAGAGAAGCACUUUUCUGGGAGAGAGAACAGGGAUAGAAAAGGGAACAGUUUUUUUCCACAA
Molecule: long non-coding RNA, 541 nt
Organism: Heterocephalus glaber (naked mole-rat)
Lineage: Eukaryota; Metazoa; Chordata; Mammalia; Rodentia; Bathyergidae
Source: RefSeq, a predicted model, not a curated record